This is a long non-coding RNA of Gallus gallus (chicken), 731 nucleotides long. The record is from Ensembl. Lineage: Eukaryota; Metazoa; Chordata; Aves; Galliformes; Phasianidae.
GACUGACUCAUAUGAAGUCAUUUUUGUACGGUUUCUCAUCGUGAGAUGUAAUGUAAUUCUGGUUUUAUUUUUUUCUCCCAGCUGCACAGCUGUCUUUUAUAAUGCACAUAGGUUAUAUUAAACCGAGCACUAAUUAUCACUGUGCCAAGAGGCAGCAGCGCUAGGACUGCAGAUGAAACAGAAAACAGAGCUACAGCAAAAAGUACAGCAGAUUAAACCUCACUCAUGACCUUUUAAGUCUUGUGGGUGAGCUCUGAGCUACACACUGAGAUAAAGUGGAAUUUCCUGGCUUCAGCAGAGAGAAACUCAUGUCUUUUUGCUCCGAAGCACAAAGCACUACUGCUCAAGAAUAAGGAGAAUCAUCCUUGCCACAUGCCAGGCUGUGGGAUGACUUCUGCUUCUCUUGAUAACACUCACAAGCACGUAUCUGACAGUCAGUCCUUUAAGCUUACAGGUGGCACGGAGGAACAGAAGGCUGGGGGAUUGAUGUGUUUCCAGACACCACGAAAUGAAGCUCUGGCAGAACUGAGAGGUAAGCCCUGAGUCGCCGGUGUUCUCCCACUUCAGGAAAGCCGAGCACCAUCAGCUAAUGGCCAUGAAUAUUUCAGCUGUGUCAUUAUUAUUUCACAGAGGUAAAUGCUGCAGGGAAGAGCUGGGAGAUGGCAGCACGUUGCGUUCGGCUGCACUUGGGGGUAGGAUGUGCAGAGUCACAGCACUGGGGACAACCUCUC